This is a non-coding RNA of Potamilus streckersoni, 73 nucleotides long. Lineage: Eukaryota; Metazoa; Mollusca; Bivalvia; Unionida; Unionidae. The record is from the annotation of a GenBank genome assembly.
GUUCCGGUGGCCUAGUGAUUAAAGCGUCCGCCUCAGAUGCGCGAGGCUGCGGGUUCAAACCCAGGCCGAGUCA